This 253-nucleotide ribosomal RNA is filed under the name uncultured bacterium. Its description in RNAcentral is "partial 16S ribosomal RNA". It matches the Rfam family "Bacterial small subunit ribosomal RNA", at positions 524 to 776 of the family's 1533-position model. The record is from RNAcentral.
UACGAAGGGGGCUAGCGUUGUUCGGAAUUACUGGGCGUAAAGCGCACGUAGGCGGAUUUGUUAGUCAGGGGUGAAAUCCCGGGGCUCAACCUCGGAACUGCCCUUGAUACUGCAGAUCUCGAGUUCGGGAGAGGUGAGUGGAAUUCCUAGUGUAGAGGUGAAAUUCGUAGAUAUUAGGAAGAACACCAGUGGCGAAGGCGGCUCACUGGCCCGAUACUGACGCUGAGGUGCGAAAGCGUGGGGAGCAAACAGG